CACACCACCCACUAAAUUACCGAUUCUUUACGAUAACAGAAGUUAAGCAACGCUGAGCCUGGUCAGUACCUAGAUGGGUGACCGUUUGGGAAUACGAGGGGCUGUCAU
Acanthosepion pharaonis is the source of this 108-nucleotide non-coding RNA. The record is from the annotation of a GenBank genome assembly. Lineage: Eukaryota; Metazoa; Mollusca; Cephalopoda; Sepiida; Sepiidae.